This 459-nucleotide ribosomal RNA is filed under the name uncultured Rhodospirillales bacterium. RNAcentral describes it as "bacterial SSU rRNA". It matches the Rfam family "Bacterial small subunit ribosomal RNA", at positions 925 to 1382 of the family's 1533-position model. The record is from RNAcentral. Lineage: Bacteria; Pseudomonadati; Pseudomonadota; Alphaproteobacteria; Rhodospirillales.
ACAAGCGGUGGAGCAUGUGGUUCAAUUCGACGCAACGCGAAGAACCUUACCAGCCCUUGACUUGUGACUCGCCGGCUCCAGAGACGGAGCCUUCGGUUCGGCCGGAGUCAACACAGGUGCUGCAUGGCUGUCGUCAGCUCGUGUCGUGAGAUGUUGGGUUAAGUCCCGCAACGAGCGCAACCCUCGUCUCCAGUUGCCAUCAGGUAAUGCUGGGCACUUUGGAGAAACUGCCGGUGACAAGCCGGAGGAAGUGGGGAUGACGUCAAGUCCUCAUGGCCCUUACGGGCUGGGCUACACACGUGCUACAAUGGCGGUGACAGUGGGAUGCGAAGGGGCGACCCGGAGCCGAUCCUAAAAAGCCGUCUCAGUUCGGAUUGCACUCUGCAACUCGAGUGCAUGAAGGUGGAAUCGCUAGUAAUCGAGGAUCAGCAUGCCUCGGUGAAUACGUUCCCGGGCCUU